UACAGAGGGUGCGAGCGUUGUCCGGAAUCACUGGGCGUAAAGGGCGCGUAGGUGGCGCCGCAAGUCCAUGGUGAAAGCUCGAUGCUCAACAUCGAGUCGGCCACGGGGACUGCGGGGCUCGAGCACUGUAGGGGCAGAUGGAAUUCCGGGUGUAGUGGUGAAAUGCGUAGAGAUCCGGAGGAACGCCUGUGGCGCAAGCGGCCACCUGGGCCUUAUCUGACGCUGAGGGACGAAAGCGUGGGGAGCAAACCGG
This 253-nucleotide ribosomal RNA is filed under the name uncultured bacterium. RNAcentral's name for it is "partial 16S ribosomal RNA". It matches the Rfam family "Bacterial small subunit ribosomal RNA", at positions 524 to 776 of the family's 1533-position model. The record is from RNAcentral.